Molecule: long non-coding RNA, 967 nt
Organism: Ricinus communis (castor bean)
Lineage: Eukaryota; Viridiplantae; Streptophyta; Magnoliopsida; Malpighiales; Euphorbiaceae
Exons: 2
Source: RefSeq, a predicted model, not a curated record
UCUGAAUCUGUGUACGAGAAAAGGUAAGUAACGAUAUAAAUAAAGCAUGAAUAUGACUAAUGAAUUGUAUUUACCAUGUCCUAGGUUAAACUGUUGAUCUACAUGUGAUGCACGUGAACUUGUGACCACUCUAGUGUGACAGUCUUGCUCGAGCGCCAGUGACUCAGGCGAGGAAAAGCCCGUGAAGUGCAGAUGGGCAGUGAGGCCACCAAAAGGCCGAUCUCCAGGGCCCAAACAUGUAGAACAAAGAGUCAGCAUGCAUGAUAUCUAUAUUUAAAAGAACUAAGAAAAGAAGUUAGAGCACAACUUAUAUGGAUAGCAUGCCAAAAACUGCAAAUCCUCUUGCUACCUCGGAUAGUGACAUCCAUCUGAUGGUAUAGAUAUGCGAGAGUUGCAUACCUCCAGUCAUAAGAAGAGACCUGGUCCGAGUCCCGCAGAGGAGCUAAAUGUCUCUUAGGAGGGGUAUUUAUACCCUUUAACGAUAAAAGAGACGUUAUAAAUAGAUGCAACUAACUUUUUGCGAUCGAGACACUUGUGUUGCGGUCGCAAAACCUAAAGUGGCAACGACUAUAUUCCAUAUGGCACUAUACGAUUCGUCGUGUUAGAAGUAACCGUUGGCGAUUUCUUGAGGUUUGUAUAAGUCGCAGUCAUGAAAUCAAGGGCGUCGAUGCAAUUCUUACUACUUCUUUAAUACUGAGGUUCUUGGACGCGAUUGUUUGGCUCAUGGGCGCUAAACCUUCUAACUUCCAGAAUCAGACUUUCAUGGGCGCGAUAUGAGGCUCGCGAUCGUGAAAUCAUCAAUUGCUUCAAGGGUAAAGUUGUUUAUGAAAGUCGCGUUCGCGACAUACUUGUGGCAGUUGCAAUUUAGAAAGUAUUUUUUAGAACUUUUAAGCUCUUCAAAGAACAUCUACAAAGAACACUCAAAGUCAAGAUUAUAUACACUCAAUCUUAAUCGUUAAGGUCAAAA